CACAAGCGGUGGAGCAUGUGGUUUAAUUCGAUGCAACGCGAAGAACCUUACCUGGGCUUGACAUCCCGGGAAUCCCUUGGAACAAGGGAGUGCCCUUCGGGGAACCUGGAGACAGGUGCUGCAUGGCUGUCGUCAGCUCGUGUCGUGAGAUGUAGGGUUAAGUCCCGCAACGAGCGCAACCCUUGUCUUUAAUUGCCAUCAUUGAGUUGGGCACUUUAAAGAGACUGCCGGUGAUAAACUGGAGGAAGGUGGGGAUGACGUCAAAUCAUCAUGCCCCUUAUGACCUGGGCUACAAACGUGAUACAAUGGCUGAAACAAAGGGCAGCGAAGGAGCGAUCUGGAGCGAAACCCAAAAAAGCAGUCUCAGUUCGGAUUGAAGUCUGCAACUCGACUUCAUGAAGUCGGAAUCGCUAGUAAUCGCGGAUCAGAACGCCGCGGUGAAUACGUUCUCGGGGUUU
Molecule: ribosomal RNA, 458 nt
Filed under: uncultured Syntrophus sp.
Lineage: Bacteria; Pseudomonadati; Thermodesulfobacteriota; Syntrophia; Syntrophales; Syntrophaceae
Description: bacterial SSU rRNA
Rfam family: Bacterial small subunit ribosomal RNA
Source: RNAcentral